Molecule: transfer-messenger RNA, 327 nt
Filed under: Reyranella sp.
Lineage: Bacteria; Pseudomonadati; Pseudomonadota; Alphaproteobacteria; Hyphomicrobiales; Reyranellaceae
Rfam family: Alphaproteobacteria transfer-messenger RNA
About the family: Bacterial tmRNA, also known as 10Sa RNA or SsrA, is named for its dual tRNA and mRNA-like properties. Its role is to liberate the mRNA from a stalled ribosome. To accomplish this part of the tmRNA is used as a reading frame that ends in a translation stop signal.
Source: RNAcentral
CGUCUUCAAAAAGCCCGCUGGACCGCCUAUAUUGGAACUGUCGGGCAACCGACUAUGGCGAUAAACGCCGCGUGACAUAAGCGUUUCGGACCCGGGGGCGGUACCCGGCGCCUCCACCAUUCUCUCCCUCUCUCAUCCGAGCGGGACCGAUGGGGGCGAAAUAGGAUCGACGAGCGUGGUAAAGGCGCGGCUUUUGCUCGGUAUGGUUCCGCCGUGACGGGCCACACACAAGUGCUAACGAUAACACCGUUACACUCGCUGCUGCCGCCUAAACAGCGGACGUAAGCGCGGUUCGGGGGGGCACCGGGCAACAGAAGCCCCCUCACU